CGCCCCAAAUCUUACAUAGAUAUAUAGGAAAGAGACUUAGAUGCCUCUAACUUAUGUAAAAUUUGCUCAAAUCUAUUACUUUCUUGACACAGCUUCUCUCAAAGUACAAAGAAAAUGGUUGCAAAGUAACAAUUCAUUGGUGUUAACUGCUUGUGCAAGGAGCCAAGGCCUAUCCUACUUACAUGGCUUAGGAUUACCAUGAGAACAGUAAGAGAGAUAUGUGGUCAGAGAGCCUAUCCAGCCAAACUUCCUGGACAAGAGAUCUCGUUUUUGUUGUUGUUUUGAGGCACAGAGUUGACCAUGAGCCCGUACUGGCAUUAAUGGGUCAAAAAAACUGUAGACUUGAUAAAGCUAGAAACAAUCAAUCUCCCUGGACCUCAAUGAAACGUUGUGCAUUCAUAAAUUGUCCAAACCCUGGAUGCCAUGGACCAUCUUUAUGUUGUAUAAUAACCGUAGUGGUUAUAAAAGUGCUACAGUCAAGUCCCCCUUUGUAACAUUGGAGUAUCUUUGGAUCAUGUGAUAGGUGGAUUUUGUGUGACAAAGAGUUGAAUUCAUUGAGAUUUGUAGAGGAGACCAUCAGUGGAUACUGGAGACGAACCAGUACAACAAAUUCCACCAGUUCUUCUGAUUGUCCCAGCAUUGAUAUAUUUCAAUUUUUUUUAAAAAAAAAACAAGUUUUAUUUGUGUGUAUCUUUUUUUGUCUAUUAGUUUUUUUGAUGUUUUUACUAUAAAAAAAAUUUCAGCAUAAAAAUAAAUUACUAAAAUAAAAUAAAUAAAAACAUAAAAAUAAACAGGAGGAUGAAUCUGAGAUCUCUGUACUUAUAAAUAGGCUAUUUGUAAUAUUUAUAUACAUGUGUUUACUUCCAUUAAGUAUAAAAAGAAAUGCAGGGCAAGCUAAAAUUACAUAGUAGAGGAAUAAAUAAAGAGUUGGAUAUAGGUGUAUUUGUGCUCAAAGAACUCUGAGAUUUAAAUACUGGCCGAUUUCAGCUGUGUUAUACAAAACACUGUUUUUGGUUCUGGCAUGGUUCCCCUCCUUUAAAAUAAGAAGAAAUAAAGAAUAAACUUAUCUAGAAUCCCACACAGGGGACAAGUUCUUCCUGCAGGCCUUUGAUCCUUCGAUGAUGUCACUCCCACUCGCUACAGGAGGAGGGAUGUCCCAGAGGCCAGGCUGAGUUAGAAAUUGGGUGGUACAGAGGGCUAGGCUGUACCGCCAUUUAUAGUCUGUCGUGCCAAGCUGCUAUGCUUGCUGACGAUAGAGGCCUUAUAUGAUCAGGAUUAACAUUAGCGGAGAGAGAUGCUGAUGGUGGAAUUACACAGCAAAGUGCAUUAUCUCUGUAUGUGCAGCAUUUCUGAAACCCUGCACAGACUCCAAGCACCAUGACCACUUCAAAUCACUAAAAGUUAACUUUCAAUAAAAAAACAGAACAUUUAAAGGGACACUAUUGUCACCAAAAUAACUUUAGCGUAAUUAUGCAGAUUUAGUGUAUAGAUCAUGCCCCUGCAGUCUCACUGCUCAAUUCUCUGUCAUUUAGGAGUUAAUUCGCUUUGCUUAUGCACCUCUAGUCACACCUCUGUGCGUGUGACUUACACAGCCUUCCGAAACACUUCCUGUAAAGAGUUAUCUAAUGUUUACACUUCCUUUUUUGCAAAUUCGAUUUAAUGUAAAAUGUAUUAACUCCUGCACUGUUAAUAGCUUGGUAGACCCAGCAGGAGCCUCCUGUAUGUAAUUACAGCUCAAUUUACAGAGGUGGAGAUAAAAAGCUUUCAAAGUGAGUUAUAUCUGAUUGAAAGUCAAACCAUUUUGUUUUCAUGCAGGCUGUGUCAGUCACAUCUAGGUGAGAUGUGGCUAGGGCUGCAUAAACUGAAACAAAAGUGAUUUAACUCCUAAAUGUCAGUGAACUGAGCAGUGAAACGUCAAAGGUAUGAUCUAUACACCUAAACUGCUUCAUUAAGCUAAAGCUAUAGUGUCCCUUUAAUGAAAACUGUAGACUGAUAAUACAUUUUUCUUGUUUUGAGGUCUAAUGAGUAAGUUAUUUGUUUUAUUUGUAUAGUAGUGACAAAGUUGGGGCAUAUAUAUAUAUAUAUGCCCCAAUAUAUAAUAAUUACUAUAAAAUCUUAG
This is a non-coding RNA of Pelobates cultripes (western spadefoot toad), 2119 nucleotides long. Lineage: Eukaryota; Metazoa; Chordata; Amphibia; Anura; Pelobatidae. The record is from the annotation of a GenBank genome assembly.